AGGCCCGUGAUGAAAUGGUAUCAUGAGGGUCUCCAAAACCCUUCUUCCAGGUUCGAAUCCUGGCGGGCCUG
RNAcentral lists this transfer RNA (71 nucleotides) under Candidatus Hodarchaeales archaeon. RNAcentral describes it as "tRNA-Trp". It matches the Rfam family "tRNA". From Rfam's summary of the family: Transfer RNA (tRNA) molecules are approximately 80 nucleotides in length. Their secondary structure includes four short double-helical elements and three loops (D, anti-codon, and T loops). Lineage: Archaea; Promethearchaeati; Candidatus Hodarchaeota; Candidatus Hodarchaeia; Candidatus Hodarchaeales. The record is from RNAcentral.